AUUGAACGCUGGCGGCAGGCUUAACACAUGCAAGUCGAGCGGGGGAAGGUAGCUUGCUACCGGACCUAGCGGCGGACGGGUGAGUAAUGCUUAGGAAUCUGCCUAUUAGUGGGGGACAACAUCUCGAAAGGGAUGCUAAUACCGCAUACGUCCUACGGGAGAAAGUAGGGGAUCUUCGGACCUUGCGCUACUAGAUGAGCCUAAGUAGGAUUAGCUAGUUGGUGGGGUAAAGGCCUAUCAAGGCGACGAUCUGUAGCGGGUCUGAGAGGAUGAUCCGCCACACUGGGACUGAGACACGGCCCAGACUCCUACGGGAGGCAGCAGUGGGGAAUAUUGGACAAUGGGGGGAACCCUGAUCCAGCCAUGCCGCGUGUGUGAAGAAGGCCUUAUGGUUGUAAAGCACUUUAAGCGAGGAGGAGGCUACUUUAGUUAAUACCUAGAGAUAGUGGACGUUACUCGCAGAAUAAGCACCGGCUAACUCUGUGCCAGCCGCCGCAGUAA
Molecule: ribosomal RNA, 501 nt
Filed under: uncultured bacterium
Lineage: Bacteria
Description: partial 16S ribosomal RNA
Rfam family: Bacterial small subunit ribosomal RNA
Source: RNAcentral